Molecule: long non-coding RNA, 2726 nt
Organism: Lolium perenne
Lineage: Eukaryota; Viridiplantae; Streptophyta; Magnoliopsida; Poales; Poaceae
Source: RefSeq, a predicted model, not a curated record
CCUAGCCGCCCCUCCGUGCCCUCUCGCCUUUUCCGUCCUCUCGCGCUCCACCACGGGAUCCCGACUCCCGAGGUCGCCGCCGCAGCAAACCACCUUGAGAUGGGCUGGUGCGCUCAUCGUCUCUGAUGUGCCAUGUAUCAUCUCCUCGGGUGAGAAAUCGAUCCUGAGUGACGUGAAUCGACGGUAUCAUCCAAUUGUUCCUCGGUGCCAUUCGUCCGCCGCCGCCGUUGAUUCGUCCUCUCCCCGUGCCCUUGUCUUCGUACAAGUUUCCUGUAGUUCUAGGGAUUCCUCCUGGUCCUUCCCAAGCCAAGGAAGAAGGGCCCGCGCGACCUUGAGCUCGAUCGCCGAGCUGCCGCUGGCCGUCGUCUCCUCCUAACUUCUACGAUCUCCAUUGUAAGCACCUACACGAGGAAGAAGAACAAGGAAGAUGGAAACAAGGAGGAAUCCAUCGACGUGAGGAGAAAGAUCUUGCAAUUUUAGACUGACUCUCCGUUGGUUUGCAUGCCUUCUCUCCUUCGUCAACGACCGAUCCCCAACCUCCUGGUCCAGGUAACCGCACUUGUUGCCUUGGUUAUUUCCCCUAUCUUCCUUGUUCACGGUGCAUCUUGCAGAGGAUCAUUUAGGAGAGCCGCGUGCGUCGAGCAACGACUAGCGACCAUGCGCGCACAGACCGGAGCAGAAAGAUCCGCCGUGCAGUGACUCGGACCUCGCGAGAUUUAUGCGUGCAUCCGAACCCUCACCCCAUGUUCUCUUUCUCAACAUGUCAAGGUCAUGUCAGCCACGGGUGAGCACCUGUGUUGCUCACCUCAAUCUGUCCUAUGGGUCUUCAAUGGCAGAGCGGAACAGAGGAGGAUAAUCUUACGCUUCCCAUCCGGCAACAAUCUUGGAAGGUUCAAAAUUUUCAGAAUUAGCAGCUCAGGUUAGCACCGUAUAUGCAAUCUCAUCUACCACUGUCUACUCCAUUUUUUUCAGAUUAGCCAGCUUUGCUGAUCUGAGGUAGGCCGGACGAGCGUGUAGUAAACCAACGUUGUCUCUUUCCAAUCAGAUCUGUAUGUUUAAGUGCAGCAACUGUUUUGGACCCGUGUGCAUCGUCUUGAUCUAGAAAAAGGAAAGGCUAGGAAGCACGUCAUGAUUAGCACUGAUUGAUACCGCACACAAGCAAUACAUGCAGGUUGAUCUUAUAUUGCAUCGACUUAUUUCUUUUACGGUCAUAUUCGUGUUAUGCUAGACAUUAAAUGUCAAUGAAGAGCCAUCCUCUUCAUUGCCUAUUUCAAAAGCACCUGCUUCAGCAUGAUGUGUUACAAAUACAUUUGAAGUUGCAGAGAAGGAAAUUAAGAGAGUGCUUCUUGGUUAUUGCUCAUGUCACAAUGCUAGAUUCUUUCUUUUGAUUUAAGCCUAGAGUAUGAACUCAAAGUGGUAAACAAUAUUGGUUUGUGAUCUGUUUUGAGCUAAAAUUCUGCUGAGUCCAUGAUAACUUUACACCUUUCAUACUAUGUAGUAUUUUUCAUCUUGGUCAGACAUUUAUGUUGCUUCUGUUGAUGCAUGCACAAGCCUAAAUAUUGAAAUGACAUGGAAAUAUCUUGGUUUUUUAUUUUCUGUUAUUGUGCAAGGCGUUAGUAUCUUACUGCUUGCUUAUUUGGAUCAUCUAAUGGUUCUUAUGUAUCUGUCGUAGGAACAUUUUCUGAACAUGGCUCGUUGUUUCCCCACAUAGAUAGAACAUCUAAUAUUAUCGAUUCUAGAGGUACAUGUAUGGUACAACUAAAUGUGCAUGAGCUUUCCAGUCAUAGAUUUAGUACAGUUUUUUCCAUUGUAGAUCUAUCAGUUACAUGAUUAGCAAAUAUAGUAAUAUAAAUUGCAAUAUCAACUUCAGUUAGUUGUGUGAACUAUGAAAGAAAAUCCCAACACGAAUAUUCGCCAGUCAAUUAUAAUCUCAAAGAAGUGAAGUUCAAAACCAUGCUACUGCUGAAGUCUUGCAGAAAUGCUAAUAGAAGUUUAGUUGAAAGAAACAUAAAUACAAAAAGCAGUUUAUCGUACCUUUGCAUGAGAAGACAUGAUCAGUACCUAAGCUUUGCAGUCAUGGAGGAACGCAACCAGUGUUGUGCGGCUAGGGCAACAAGCUGGUCAGGUAACUUCCUUUGUGAGGUUAUGUUGUUUUAUUUCUUUGUACACAAACCCUUCUCUCUCACACAUCUCAUAUCUGCAACAUGGUUUAUCCGUACUUUCAUUACUCAAUUGUUUUUGUUACAGAUUUUCAGUUCGACACAAAAUCAAAAGUGUUCUCCCUGGUAUGAUCCAUAUUACAUCGUUAAUCCUGGUGUUUUGUAUACACAGAGUUCAUUGUAUUCAUCUUAGUGGCAUGAUAAAGUUACUUAUAUCUAGACCUUUUGAGGUAACUUUGUAGAGAUUGUUCUGCAUGUUACUUAUCAUCAUCUUUGGGUAUAGGUAGGGACACAUAGGUUACAGUUUAUUGAUAGUUCAAGACCUUGACUCUCUGAAGUUUAUAGGUACUUUCUAGAUCCAUACUUGGAGACAGUAAGAUGCUUUGGAGCCGAGUAUAGAGCAACAAACCUUGAUGUGGCGAUAACAAUGAAGAUCCAGAAAGCAUCUGAUUUGGCCACAAAUUAGUCUAGCUCUUGACUCUAACUGAUGUAUUUAAGCAUGGCUCUGUUUUUGUGCACCUCUUAAUUCUACCUUUUAUUUUAUGGAAACAAAAGAGCUUGCUUUUA